GACGAACGCUGGCGGCGUGCUUAACACAUGCAAGUCGAACGGAAAGGCCCGGCUUUUGUGGGGUGCUCGAGUGGCGAACGGGUGAGUAACACGUGAGUAACCUGCCCUUGACUUUGGGAUAACUUCAGGAAACUGGGGCUAAUACCGGAUAGGAGCUCCUGCUGCAUGGUGGGGGUUGGAAAGUUUCGGCGGUUGGGGAUGGACUCGCGGCUUAUCAGCUUGUUGGUGGGGUAGUGGCUUACCAAGGCUUUGACGGGUAGCCGGCCUGAGAGGGUGACCGGCCACAUUGGGACUGAGAUACGGCGCAGACUCCUACGGGAGGCAGCAGUGGGGAAUAUUGCACAAUGGGCGGAAGCCUGAUGCAGCAACGCCGCGUGCGGGAUGACGGCCUUCGGGUUGUAAACCGCUUUCGCCUGUGACGAAGCGUGAGUGACGGUAAUGGGUAAAGAAGCACCGGCUAACUACGUG
Molecule: ribosomal RNA, 468 nt
Filed under: uncultured bacterium
Lineage: Bacteria
Description: partial 16S ribosomal RNA
Rfam family: Bacterial small subunit ribosomal RNA
Source: RNAcentral